CCGCACAAGCGGUGGAGCAUGUGGUUAAUUCGAUGCAACGCGAAGAACCUUACCUGGGCUUGACAUCCCUGGAAUCCCCUGGAACAGGGAGUGCCUUCGGGAGCCAGGAGACAGGUGCUGCAUGGCUGUCGUCAGCUCGUGUCGUGAGAUGUUGGGUUAAGUCCCGCAACGAGCGCAACCCUUGUCUUUAAUUGCCAUCAUUCAGUUGGGCACUUUAAAGAGACUGCCGGUGUUAAACCGGAGGAAGGUGGGGAUGACGUCAAGUCCUCAUGGCCUUUAUGCCCAGGGCUACACACGUGCUACAAUGGCCGGUACAGACGGAGGCGAAGCCGCGAGGCGGAGCAAAUCCGAAAAAGCCGGUCUCAGUUCGGAUUGCAGGCUGCAAUUCGCCUGCAUGAAGUCGGAAUCGCUAGUAAUCGCAGGUCAGCAUACUGCGGUGAAUACGUUCCCGGGCCUU
This 457-nucleotide ribosomal RNA is filed under the name uncultured delta proteobacterium. RNAcentral's name for it is "bacterial SSU rRNA". It matches the Rfam family "Bacterial small subunit ribosomal RNA", at positions 921 to 1382 of the family's 1533-position model. Lineage: Bacteria; Deltaproteobacteria. The record is from RNAcentral.